This 392-nucleotide long non-coding RNA is filed under the name Androctonus crassicauda. The record is from RNAcentral. Lineage: Eukaryota; Metazoa; Arthropoda; Arachnida; Scorpiones; Buthidae.
AAUUCGCCAGCGAAAUAGUUCAACAUUUCCAAAUUAGAAGGCGAUUCGCUAAAUAGAAACAUUCGCCGGAUACGACGUCAUCAAUGACACAUAUUUCGUUUCGCUUUUUGCCAGCGGUUCGCUCUCUGUGUGAACCAGCCUUAAGUGCAGAAUUGAUUUAAAAAAAAAUACUGUUAAUGAAAAGAAAAAAGAUUUUGUUCCAUGAAAAUAAUAUUAAUCUACACAGACAACACUACAGAAAACUAAAGACUUCAAUUGGAAUUUGUCUCAUUCACUUUAAUAUUGUUCUAAGUGAUUAUCAUCUGUUUCUUAGCUUCCAGAAUAUUCUAUUCGAAAAAUUCAAUACUAAAAGCAAAGUUGGAAGAGCAAUGUCUUACUAUUUUAUAUCAGAA